AUUUUCAUGAUAUCGGUAACUUCAAUGCAAAGGAAGCAGUAAAUUUAUGCCUAAAAGAAAGUCUUCAUGAUUCUUUAACGCCAUCCUUCACAUGGUGGGACCGUGAAGGAUAGUGGCCUUUUUAUAAAGCACGGCUUGUUAAGGCCAUUUAUGAUGCCGUGUGUAACAGCCGCUACUUUGAGAAGCCGACUCGGGCACAUUUUCAAUGUUACAUGAAAGAGGCUCUCCGGGCAGCAAAAGAAAGGAUACGGAGCAGUUUACGUAGUCCGCGCACGCAAAGCAUACGAGGAAAUAGAAAUCGCCGUGAUUUUUGGACCGAUGACAGAAUAGAGGAGGAGACAGAUUUACCGAACGAAAAUUAAAUUCUAACGAAGAAAACGGUUGCUGUCCACUCAGCUGACUGCCGAUUUGACUCUGGAAUGUAGUGAUGGAUCCAUGUUUCAUCCAUUGUCACAUACCGCAUCAAAAAAUCCUUUUUAUUGCGCUGAAACAGCUCCAAACACCCCGCUGAAUCAUCGACGCGUUGCUGUUUUUCAUUGACUGUGAGCAAACGCGGUACCCACUUCGAACCACUGUAACUUGUGAACUAAACGUCCGGUUGUCAUGAAAUUUUGACACGUA
Molecule: long non-coding RNA, 621 nt
Organism: Harpegnathos saltator (Jerdon's jumping ant)
Lineage: Eukaryota; Metazoa; Arthropoda; Insecta; Hymenoptera; Formicidae
Exons: 3
Source: RefSeq, a predicted model, not a curated record